CAAUAGCGUAUAUUAAAGUUGUUGCAGUUAAGAAGCUCGUAGUUGGAUUUCGGGGCAGCCUGGCUGGUCCGCCGCAAGGCGAGUACUGGUCAGCCGCCCUUCCUCUCGAAAGCCCCGACUGCUCUUCGUUGCAGUGGUCGGGUAGUUCGGGACGUUUACUUUGAAAAAAUUAGAGUGUUCAAGGCAGGCCUACGCCUGAAUACAUUAGCAUGGAAUAAUGGAAGAGGACCUCGGUCCUAUUUUGUUGGUUUCCAGGGCCGAAGUAAUGAUUAAGAGGGACAGUUGGGGGCAUUCGUAUUUAAUUGUCAGAGGUGAAAUUCUCGGAUUUAUGAAAGACGAACAACUGCGAAAGCAUUUGCCAAGGAUGUUUUCAUUAA
Molecule: ribosomal RNA, 377 nt
Filed under: uncultured eukaryote
Lineage: Eukaryota
Description: partial 18S ribosomal RNA
Rfam family: Eukaryotic small subunit ribosomal RNA
Source: RNAcentral